CUCCACCUUCAGAGAGUGCCAGUGCUCUGGAAAACAUCCUGCCUUGUUCCAGUGCCCAAAAAAGGACAUCCUGUGGCACUGGAUGACUACAGGCCGAUUGCACUGACCUCUCACAUUAUGAAGGUCAUGGAGAGGCUGGUUCUUGCACACCUCAGACCCCUAGUGUGCCCAUCACAGGACCCCCUACAAUUUGCAUAUCAGCCCUAUGUUGGGGUUGAUGAUGCACUCAUUUACCUGCUGCAGGAAGCCUACUCCUCCCUGGAUAGACCCAACACUGCUGUCCGCGUCAUGUUCUUCGACUUCUCCAGCGCCUUUAACACCAUCCAGCCCAAGCUGCUGAAGGCCAAACUGGAGAACAUGCAGGUGGAUUCUCCUCUUGUCACAUGGGUUAAUGACUAUCUGACGGGCAGGCCACAGUAUGUGAGAUUACAAAACUGUGUGUCUGACCGUCUGAUCAGCAACAUCGGCGCCCCCCAGGGAACUGUGCUGUCGCCCUUCCUCUUCACCACCUACACUGCAGAUUUUAAGUACCGCACUGAGUCGUGUCAUCUGCAGAAAUUCUCUGAUGACACGGCCAUUGUGGGGCGUGUAGAGGAUGGGAGGGAGGAUGAGUACAGGGACCUGGUCGGCAAUUUUGUCAAAUGGUGUGAGGAGAACCACCUGCAGCUGAACGUGGCGAAGACGAAAGAGAUGGUGGUGGACUUCAGGAGGAACAAGCCCCCGCCUUCUCCAGUCUGCAUUGGCGGGACAGACAUCAACAUUGUGGACUCUUACAAGUACCUGGGUGUGGUGCUGGACGAUAAACUGGAGUGGACCGCAAACACGGAGGCAGUCUACAAGAAGGGCCUGAGCCGGCUUUACUUCCUGAGGAGGCUCAGGUCCUUUAAUGUCUGCAACCGGAUGCUUCAGAUGUUUUAUCAGUCUGUUGUUGCGAGCACCAUCUUCUUCGCUGUGGUGUCCUGGGGUGCGGGCAUCAAAGCUAAAGAUGCAAACAGACUAAACAAACUCAUAAAGAAGGCAGGGUCUGUUGUUGGCUCUAAACUUGUCACCCUGGAGGAGGUGGUGGAGCACAGGAUGCUGGCAAAACUGCUGGUAAUCAUGGACAAUGUCUCUCAUCCCCUCCACGAAACCCUGGACAAGCUUAAGAGCAGCUUCAGCAAU
Molecule: long non-coding RNA, 1161 nt
Filed under: Sparus aurata (gilthead seabream)
Lineage: Eukaryota; Metazoa; Chordata; Actinopteri; Spariformes; Sparidae
Description: lncRNA (ENSSAUG00010015633.1)
Source: RNAcentral